This 24-nucleotide microRNA is filed under the name Brachypodium distachyon (stiff brome). RNAcentral's name for it is "bdi-miR7779-5p". Lineage: Eukaryota; Viridiplantae; Streptophyta; Magnoliopsida; Poales; Poaceae. The record is from miRBase by way of RNAcentral.
GAGGUCAUUGUCAGACAUGGGAAG